Molecule: ribosomal RNA, 1336 nt
Filed under: uncultured bacterium
Lineage: Bacteria
Description: bacterial SSU rRNA
Rfam family: Bacterial small subunit ribosomal RNA
Source: RNAcentral
CUAAGGAAAUCGGAGCGGAGGGGUUGAGUAACGCGCCCCCUUAAAAGGGGUUCAUUGUUGGGGCAACAACCUGUGAAACGGGUUGCGUAAUACCAAUGUUGCCGAGAGGUGAAGCUUUAGUGCCUGAAAUGAGCUCGCGUCUGAUUAGCUAGUUGGAGGGGAAAGGCCCCCAAGGCGACGAUCAGUAGCUGGUCUGAGAGGAUGAUCAGCCACACUGGGACUGAGACACGGCCCAGACUCCUACGGGAGGCAGCAGUGAGGAAUUUUCCGCAAUGGGCGAAAGCCUGACGGAGCAAUACCGCGUGAGGGAGGAAGGCUCUUGGGUCGUAAACCUCUUUUGUCAUGGAAGAACACAAUGACGGUACCUGACGAAUCAACGUCGGCUAACUCCGUGCCAGCAGCCGCGGUAAUACGGGGGAUGCAAGCGUUAUCCGGAAUUAUUGGGCGUAAAGCGUCCGCAGGUGGUUGUCCAAGUCUGCUGUUAAAGCAUGGGGCUUAACUCCAUAUAGGCAGUGGAAACUGGACGACUAUAUUACGGUAGGGGUCGCGGGAAUUCCCAGUGUACGGUGAAAUGCGUCAGAUAUUGGGAAGAAACACCCAGUGGCAAAAGCGCGCGGCUGGACCUGUACUGACACUGAGGACGAAAGCUAGGGGAGCGAAAGGGAUUAAAUACCCCUGUAGUCCUNAGCUGUAAACGAUGGAUACUAUGUGUUGCCCGUUAUCGACCCGGGCAGUGCCGUAUCUAACGCGUUAAAGUAUCCCCCUUGGGGAGUACGCACGCAAGUGUGAAACUCAAAGGAAUUGGACGGGGGCCCGCACAAGCGGUGGAGUAUNUGGGUUUAAUUCGAUGCAACGCGAAGAAACCUUACCAGGGCUUGACAUGUCGCGAAUCUCGGUGAAAGCUGAGAGUGCCUUCGGGAGCGCAACACAGGUGGUGCAUGGCUGUCGUCAGCACGUGUCGUGAGAUGUUGGGUUAAGUCCCACAACGAGCGCAACCCUCGUUUUUAGUUGCCAUCAUUAAGUUGGGCACUCUAGAGAGACUGCCGGUGACAAACCGGAGGAAGGUGGGGAUGACGUCAAGUCAUCAUGCCCCUUAUCGUCCUGGGCUACACCGUACUACAAUGCUAGGGACAAAGGGUCGCAAGCUCGCGAGAGCAAGCUAAUCCCAUAAACCCUGGCUCAGUUCAGAUUGCAGGCUGCAACUCGCCUGCAUGAAGGCGGAAUCGCUAGUAAUCGCAGGUCAGCAUACUCGGUGAAUACGUUCCCGGGCCUUGUACACACCGCCCCCCUUUAAGGGGGAAGUUGGUCACCCCCGAAGUCAUUACUAAACCGUUCG